CUGGCUCAGAUUGAACGCUGGCGGCAGGCCUAACACAUGCAAGUCGAGCGGUAGCACAGGGAGCUUGCUCCUGGGUGACGAGCGGCGGACGGGUGAGUAAUGUCUGGGAAACUGCCUGAUGGAGGGGGAUAACUACUGGAAACGGUAGCUAAUACCGCAUAACGUCGCAAGACCAAAGAGGGGGACCUUCGGGCCUCUUGCCAUCAGAUGUGCCCAGAUGGGAUUAGCUAGUAGGUGGGGUAAUGGCUCACCUAGGCGACGAUCCCUAGCUGGUCUGAGAGGAUGACCAGCCACACUGGAACUGAGACACGGUCCAGACUCCUACGGGAGGCAGCAGUGGGGAAUAUUGCACAAUGGGCGCAAGCCUGAUGCAGCCAUGCCGCGUGUAUGAAGAAGGCCUUCGGGUUGUAAAGUACUUUCAGCGAGGAGGAAGGCAUUGUGGUUAAUAACC
Molecule: ribosomal RNA, 451 nt
Filed under: Enterobacter sp. ERR3
Lineage: Bacteria; Pseudomonadati; Pseudomonadota; Gammaproteobacteria; Enterobacterales; Enterobacteriaceae
Description: bacterial SSU rRNA
Rfam family: Bacterial small subunit ribosomal RNA
Source: RNAcentral